AUACGGAGGAUCCGAGCGUUAUCCGGAUUUAUUGGGUUUAAAGGGAGCGUAGGUGGAUUGUUAAGUCAGUUGUGAAAGUUUGCGGCUCAACCGUAAAAUUGCAGUUGAAACUGGCAGUCUUGAGUACAGUAGAGGUGGGCGGAAUUCGUGGUGUAGCGGUGAAAUGCUUAGAUAUCACGAAGAACUCCGAUUGCGAAGGCAGCUCACUAGACUGUUACUGACACUGAUGCUCGAAAGGGUGGGUAUCAAACAGGAUUAGAUUCCCUGGUAGUCCACACAGUAAACGAUGAAUACUCGCUGUUUGCGAUAUACAGUAAGCGGCCAAGCGAAAGCAUUAAGUAUUCCACCUGGGGAGUACGCCGGCAACGGUGAAACUCAAAUGAAUUGACGGGG
This 393-nucleotide ribosomal RNA is filed under the name uncultured bacterium. RNAcentral describes it as "partial 16S ribosomal RNA". It matches the Rfam family "Bacterial small subunit ribosomal RNA", at positions 523 to 918 of the family's 1533-position model. The record is from RNAcentral.